Molecule: ribosomal RNA, 1459 nt
Filed under: uncultured organism
Description: 16S ribosomal RNA
Rfam family: Bacterial small subunit ribosomal RNA
Source: RNAcentral
GCGGCGUGCCUAAUACAUGCAAGUAGAACGCUGAAGAGAGGAGCUUGCUCUUCUUGGAUGAGUUGCGAACGGGUGAGUAACGCGUAGGUAACCUGCCUUGUAGCGGGGGAUAACUAUUGGAAACGAUAGCUAAUACCGCAUAACAAUGGAUGACACAUGUCAUUUAUUUGAAAGGGGCAAUUGCUCCACUACAAGAUGGACCUGCGUUGUAUUAGCUAGUAGGUGAGGUAACGGCUCACCUAGGCGACGAUACAUAGCCGACCUGAGAGGGUGAUCGGCCACACUGGGACUGAGACACGGCCCAGACUCCUACGGGAGGCAGCAGUAGGGAAUCUUCGGCAAUGGGGGCAACCCUGACCGAGCAACGCCGCGUGAGUGAAGAAGGUUUUCGGAUCGUAAAGCUCUGUUGUAAGUCAAGAACGAGUGUGAGAGUGGAAAGUUCACACUGUGACGGUAGCUUACCAGAAAGGGACGGCUAACUACGUGCCAGCAGCCGCAGUAAUACGUAGGUCCCGAGCGUUGUCCGGAUUUAUUGGGCGUAAAGCGAGCGCAGGCGGUUUGAUAAGUCUGAAGUUAAAGGCUGUGGCUCAACCAUAGUUCGCUUUGGAAACUGUCAAACUUGAGUGCAGAAGGGGAGAGUGGAAUUCCAUGUGUAGCGGUGAGAUGCGUAGAUAUAUGGAGGAACACCGGUGGCGAAAGCGGCUCUCUGGUCUGUAACUGACGCUGAGGCUCGAAAGCGUGGGGAGCGAACAGGAUUAGAUACCCUGGUAGUCCACGCCGUAAACGAUGAGUGCUAGGUGUUGGAUCCUUUCCGGGAUUCAGUGCCGCAGCUAACGCAUUAAGCACUCCGCCUGGGGAGUACGACCGCAAGGUUGAAACUCAAAGGAAUUGACGGGGGCCCGCACAAGCGGUGGAGCAUGUGGUUUAAUUCGAAGCAACGCGAAGAACCUUACCAGGUCUUGACAUCCCGAUGCUAUUUCUAGAGAUAGAAAGUUACUUCGGUACAUCGGUGACAGGUGGUGCAUGGUUGUCGUCAGCUCGUGUCGUGAGAUGUUGGGUUAAGUCCCGCAACGAGCGCAACCCCUAUUGUUAGUUGCCAUCAUUCAGUUGGGCACUCUAGCGAGACUGCCGGUAAUAAACCGGAGGAAGGUGGGGAUGACGUCAAAUCAUCAUGCCCCUUAUGACCUGGGCUACACACGUGCUACAAUGGUUGGUACAACGAGUUGCGAGUCGGUGACGGCAAGCUAAUCUCUUAAAGCCAAUCUCAGUUCGGAUUGUAGGCUGCAACUCGCCUACAUGAAGUCGGAAUCGCUAGUAAUCGCGGAUCAGCACGCCGCGGUGAAUACGUUCCCGGGCCUUGUACACACCGCCCGUCACACCACGAGAGUUUGUAACACCCGAAGUCGGUGAGGUAACCUUUUGGAGCCAGCCGCCUAAGGUGGGAUAGAUGAUUGGGGUG